UAGGACUCCGUGGCUUCAUGGUUGGGGGUGUAAAGCUUUUGCGGUGUGGGAUGGGCCCGCGGCCUAUCAGCUUGUUGGUGGGGUAAUGGCCUACCAAGGCGACGACGGGUAGCCGGCCUGAGAGGGUGACCGGCCACACUGGGACUGAGAUACGGCCCAGACUCCUACGGGAGGCAGCAGUGGGGAAUAUUGCACAAUGGGCGCAAGCCUGAUGCAGCGACGCCGCGUGAGGGAUGACGGCCUUCGGGUUGUAAACCUCUUCAAUAGGGACGAAGCGCAAGUGACGGUACCUAUAGAAGAAGGACCGGCCAACUACGUG
Molecule: ribosomal RNA, 319 nt
Filed under: uncultured bacterium
Lineage: Bacteria
Description: bacterial SSU rRNA
Rfam family: Bacterial small subunit ribosomal RNA
Source: RNAcentral